This 400-nucleotide unclassified non-coding RNA is filed under the name soil metagenome. RNAcentral's name for it is "partial contains 5.8S ribosomal RNA, internal transcribed spacer 2, and large subunit ribosomal RNA". The stretch from base 1 to 122 matches the Rfam family "5.8S ribosomal RNA", at positions 35 to 154 of the family's 154-position model. The record is from RNAcentral.
GAUGAAGAACGCAGCGAAAUGCGAUACCUGGUGUGAAUUGCAGAAUCCCGCGAACCAUCGAGUCUUUGAACGCAAGUUGCGCCCGAGGCCACUCGGCCGAGGGCACGCCUGCCUGGGCGUCACGCCAAAACACGCUCCCAACCCCCCUCAUCGGGAAUAGGGAUGCGGCAUAUGGUCCCUCGUCUCACAAGGGGCGGUGGGCCGAAGAUCGGGCUGCCGGCGGACCGCGCCGGACACAGCGCAUGGUGGGCGUCCUCGCUUUAUCAACGCAGUGCAUCCGACGCGUAGCCGGCGUGAUGGCCUCAAAACGACCCAGCAAACGAAGCGCACGUCGCUUCGACCGCGACCCCAGGUCAGGCGGGACUACCCGCUGAGUUUAAGCAUAUCAAUAAGCGGAGGA